CAGUAGCCGCGGUAAUACGGAGGGUGCAAGCGUUAAUCGGAAUUACUGGGCGUAAAGCGCACGCAGGCGGUCUGUCAAGUCGGAUGUGAAAUCCCCGGGCUCAACCUGGGAACUGCAUUCGAAACUGGCAGGCUAGAGUCUUGUAGAGGGGGGUAGAAUUCCAGGUGUAGCGGUGAAAUGCGUAGAGAUCUGGAGGAAUACCGGUGGCGAAGGCGGCCCCCUGGACAAAGACUGACGCUCAGGUGCGAAAGCGUGGGGAGCAAACAGGAUUAGAUACCCCGGUAGUCCCUGUCUCUUAUAC
Molecule: ribosomal RNA, 301 nt
Filed under: uncultured bacterium
Lineage: Bacteria
Description: partial 16S ribosomal RNA
Rfam family: Bacterial small subunit ribosomal RNA
Source: RNAcentral